AAUUCAGUGAAUCAUCGAAUCUUUGAACGCACAUUGCGCCCUUUGGUAUUCCAAAGGGCAUGCCUGUUCGAGCGUCAUUU
This 80-nucleotide ribosomal RNA is filed under the name Alternaria alternata. RNAcentral describes it as "partial 5.8S ribosomal RNA". It matches the Rfam family "5.8S ribosomal RNA", at positions 78 to 154 of the family's 154-position model. From Rfam's summary of the family: 5.8S ribosomal RNA (5.8S rRNA) is a component of the large subunit of the eukaryotic ribosome. It is transcribed by RNA polymerase I as part of the 45S precursor that also contains 18S and 28S rRNA. Functionally, it is thought that 5.8S rRNA may be involved in ribosome translocation. The record is from RNAcentral. Lineage: Eukaryota; Fungi; Ascomycota; Dothideomycetes; Pleosporales; Pleosporaceae.